UUCCUUCUGCUUUAUUUGCCUUCCCCUUGUUACGACUUUUACUUCUUCAUUUGGAAGUUAAUGUCGUAACAAGGUUUCCGUAGGUGAACCUGCGGAAGGAUCAUUA
Molecule: ribosomal RNA, 106 nt
Filed under: Golovinomyces artemisiae
Lineage: Eukaryota; Fungi; Ascomycota; Leotiomycetes; Helotiales; Erysiphaceae
Description: partial 18S ribosomal RNA
Rfam family: Eukaryotic small subunit ribosomal RNA
Source: RNAcentral